This 422-nucleotide ribosomal RNA is filed under the name Macoma balthica. RNAcentral describes it as "Limecola balthica partial 16S ribosomal RNA". It matches the Rfam family "Bacterial large subunit ribosomal RNA", at positions 1912 to 2590 of the family's 2925-position model. The record is from RNAcentral. Lineage: Eukaryota; Metazoa; Mollusca; Bivalvia; Cardiida; Tellinidae.
AGAAAGUCUCAACGGUCGCAGCUCCAACUGUGCGAAGGUAGCGUAAUAGGUCGUCCCUUAAUUAGGGGAAAGUAUGAAUGGUCGGAUGUUGGAAAGGCUUUAUUAAGGAGAUAGGUUGAAUUUUACUUUCUAGUGCAAAGGCUAGAAUUUCGUUAUUAGACGAGAAGACCCUGUUGAGCUUGGUAAGGCUAGUCCUUUUAGGAUUAGAGCUAUGUUUGUUCGGGGCUGAAGGGAAGGGAGAUAAUGCCUUCUAUGUUGUAUAAAAGAUCCAAUUUGAUUGAUUGGUGGAAGAUAGUUACCACAGGGAUAACAGCGCAAUCAUUCUGAUAAGGCCAUAUUUAAGGAGUGGUUUGCGACCUCGAUGUUGAAUCAAAAUUUCUACUAGGUGUAGCAGCUUAGUAAGUGGGACUGUUCGUCCUUUA